RNAcentral lists this ribosomal RNA (522 nucleotides) under Peyssonnelia sp. Its description in RNAcentral is "SSU rRNA". It matches the Rfam family "Eukaryotic small subunit ribosomal RNA", at positions 474 to 926 of the family's 1831-position model. The record is from RNAcentral. Lineage: Eukaryota; Rhodophyta; Florideophyceae; Peyssonneliales; Peyssonneliaceae.
GGAACAUGUUUAGCUCAAGCUUGCUAGGAAGGAGCCUGUGACAUCACAGAGAGGGAUUUGUGAGAUAAGAAAGGGAAUUUGUGGCUAAAAGGGGGAUGUGGUUGUGCUAAUUGGAAUGAGAACAAGGUAAACCGCUUAUCGAGGAACCAGCAGAGGGCAAGUCUGGUGCCAGCAGCCGCGGUAAUUCCAGCUCUGUAAGCGUAUACCCAAGUUGUUGCAGUUAAAACGCUCGUAGUCGGAGGUUGGCGGGCGGAACGGGGCGUCUUCACGGACGGGCCCGGGUCGGCCGCCUUUGUGGAGGGGGGCGCGGUGCCGCUUAAAUGCGGUGUCGUUGUCGCUGCCACCGUUUACUGUGAAAAAAUUAGAGUGUUCAAAGCGGGCGUUUGCCAUGAAUACCUUAGCAUGGAAUAAUAGAAUAGGACCUGUUUGUCCUGUUUUGUUGGUUUGUGAGGACCGGGUAAUGAUUAAGAGGGACGGUUGGGGGCAUUUGUAUUCCGGCGUCAGAGGUGAAAUUCUUGGAUA